GCAGUCGAACGGUGAAGUUCCCUUCGGGGAGCGGAUCAGUGGCGAACGGGUGAGUAACACGUGAGCAAUCUGCCUCUCACUUUGGGAUAACCCCGGGAAACCGGGGCUAAUACCGAAUAUGAGGCCUGGCGGCAUCGCCGGGUCUGGAAAGAAUUUCGGUGAGAGAUGAGCUCGCGGCCUAUCAGCUUGUUGGUGAGGUAAUGGCUCACCAAGGCGACGACGGGUAGCCGGCCUGAGAGGGCGACCGGCCACACUGGGACUGAGACACGGCCCAGACUCCUACGGGAGGCAGCAGUGGGGAAUAUUGGGCAAUGGAGGAAACUCUGACCCAGCGACGCCGCGUGAGGGAUGAAGGCCUUCGGGUUGUAAACCUCUUUCAGUAGGGAAGAAGCGAAAGUGACGGUACCUACAGAAGAAGCACCGGCUAACUAUGUGCCAGCAGCCGCGGUAAUACAUAGGGUGCAAGCGUUGUCCGGAAUUAUUGGGCGUAAAGAGCUCGUAGGUGGUUCGAUACGUCGGAUGUGAAAAUCAGGGGCUCAACCCCUGACCUGCAUUCGAUACGGUCGAGCUGGAGUUUGGU
Molecule: ribosomal RNA, 580 nt
Filed under: uncultured Actinomycetes bacterium
Lineage: Bacteria; Bacillati; Actinomycetota; Actinomycetes
Description: bacterial SSU rRNA
Rfam family: Bacterial small subunit ribosomal RNA
Source: RNAcentral